Non-coding RNA from Candidatus Coatesbacteria bacterium 4484_99, 86 nucleotides. Lineage: Bacteria; Candidatus Coatesiibacteriota. The record is from Rfam.
GGAGAGGUGCCGGAGCGGUUGAACGGGGCGGUCUCGAAAACCGUUGAGGGCUUGUCCCUCCGGGGGUUCGAAUCCCCCCCUCUCCG